Molecule: transfer RNA, 77 nt
Filed under: Candidatus Roizmanbacteria bacterium RIFCSPHIGHO2_01_FULL_37_16b
Lineage: Bacteria; Candidatus Roizmaniibacteriota
Also listed under: 4 other names
Description: tRNA-Val
Rfam family: tRNA
About the family: Transfer RNA (tRNA) molecules are approximately 80 nucleotides in length. Their secondary structure includes four short double-helical elements and three loops (D, anti-codon, and T loops).
Source: RNAcentral
GAGCCCAUAGCUCAGUUGGCUAGAGCGUUACAUUGACAUUGUAAAGGUCGGUGGUUCAAGUCCACCUGGGCUCACAA